UGAGGAAUAUUGGUCAAUGGGCGCGAGCCUGAACCAGCCAAGUCGCGUGAGGGAAGACGGCCCUACGGGUUGUAAACCUCUUUUGCCGGGGAGCAAAUGCGCCACGUGUGGCGCUGCGGNAGUACCCGGAGAACAAGCAUCGGCUAACUCCGUGCCAGCAGCCGCGGUAAUACGGAGGAUGCGAGCGUUAUCCGGAUUUAUUGGGUUUAAAGGGUGCGUAGGCGGUGCGUUAAGUCAGCGGUAAAAUUGAGGGGCUCAACCCCUUCCCGCCAUUGAAACUGGCGUGCUUGAGUGGGUGAGAAGUACGCGGAAUGCGUGGUGUAGCGGUGAAAUGCAUAGAUAUCACGCAGAACUCCGAUUGCGAAGGCAGCGUACCGGCGCCCGACUGACGCUGAAGCACGAAAGCGUGGGUAUCGAACAGG
RNAcentral lists this ribosomal RNA (422 nucleotides) under uncultured bacterium. Its description in RNAcentral is "bacterial SSU rRNA". It matches the Rfam family "Bacterial small subunit ribosomal RNA", at positions 355 to 776 of the family's 1533-position model. The record is from RNAcentral.